RNAcentral lists this non-coding RNA (158 nucleotides) under Candidatus Omnitrophota bacterium. RNAcentral's name for it is "Candidatus Omnitrophica bacterium 6S RNA". It matches the Rfam family "6S / SsrS RNA". Rfam says of the family: E. coli 6S RNA was the first non coding RNA to be sequenced, but its function was unknown until recently. It consists of 184 nucleotides that fold into an extended hairpin structure with a large single-stranded internal bulge. The record is from RNAcentral. Lineage: Bacteria; Pseudomonadati; Candidatus Omnitrophota.
AUAUCCCUGCGGUGCGCGUUGGAAAUUUGAUAAUUUUUGAACCAACAAAAAUAUCAAGGGAGCCUGUAUUCUGUAGCGCUUUUGCGCUAUAGAGAGGGCAUCCACCUUUAAAAGCAUGGUUCAAGCUAUUCAGUCCAACGGCACAAUGCGGGGAUUUU